RNAcentral lists this ribosomal RNA (295 nucleotides) under uncultured microorganism. RNAcentral describes it as "partial 16S ribosomal RNA". It matches the Rfam family "Bacterial small subunit ribosomal RNA", at positions 505 to 796 of the family's 1533-position model. The record is from RNAcentral.
GUGCCAGCAGCCGCGUUAAUACAGAGGGGUGCACGGCGUUAAUCGGAAUUACUGGGCGUAAAGCGCGCGUAGGUGGUUCGUUAAGUUGGAUGUGAAAUCCCCGGGCUCAACGUGGGAACUGCAUCCAAAACUGGCGAGCUAGAGUAGGGCAGAGGGUGGUGGAAUUUCCUGUGUAGCGGUGAAAUGCGUAGAUAUAGGAAGGAACACCAGUGGCGAAGGCGACCACCUGGGCUCAUACUGACACUGAGGUGCGAAAGCGUGGGGGAGCAAACAGGAUUAGAUACCCUGGUAGUCC